RNAcentral lists this transfer RNA (43 nucleotides) under Chrysotila carterae. RNAcentral describes it as "partial Selenocysteine transfer RNA". The record is from RNAcentral. Lineage: Eukaryota; Haptophyta; Isochrysidales; Isochrysidaceae.
AUGCUGGUGAUACAAGCGGUCUCCAAAACUGAUGGCGGGAAGG